CUUGGUGACAAGAGCGCAGGGGGUACACCUCUUCCCAUUCCGAACAGAGAAGUUAAGACCUGUUGCGCCGAUGGUACUGCUCGGGCGACCGUGUGGGAGAGUAGGUAGUUGCCAAGU
This 117-nucleotide ribosomal RNA is filed under the name Kapaibacterium sp. (SeqCode). The record is from RNAcentral. Lineage: Bacteria; Pseudomonadati; Bacteroidota; Eximiradiia; Eximiradiales; Kapaibacteriaceae (SeqCode).